This is a long non-coding RNA of Nomascus leucogenys (northern white-cheeked gibbon), 614 nucleotides long. RefSeq lists it as uncharacterized. The record is from RefSeq and is a predicted model, not a curated record. NCBI's taxonomy places the organism in Eukaryota, Metazoa, Chordata, Mammalia, Primates, Hylobatidae. The transcript has 2 exons.
AUGGCAACUGCAGGCAGCCAGCACUGACGGCGGGAAAAUGAGGACCGGAAGCCGGGUUACAGCCUUGGACUUCGAGCAGCCCAGGGAGAGACUCUGCGUCCUCCAGCCCCCGCUUCCCUUCAUGUCGGAGAUCCUAAGCCCGCAGCGAAGUCCGCAAAGAGCUUUCCCCGACGCCUACGAGACCGGAAGUGCCUGAGCCCAGGUGGAGGAAGGACCCGCGUGGCCUCCUCUGCGCUCCCCUGGGGUCCGUGCCCCUUCCGGCGUUUCUCCCCCGUCCUUCACCAUGGCAACUCGGGCGUUGGGAGCGUGGGCUGCGAGCCGAGUGGGUGGGGGAGCCGCUGGGCUCUAUCCGCCAGCCCACAAGAAGUGACGAAGGAGCACCCUUGAAGGAGAAUUAGACGAACUGGAGUCUACUCGGAAGAGUCUGUUGGGAAUGGCCCUGGCACCACAUCCUGAGCAGGGAUGGCCGAUGGAAUGGGGAGAAGACUCAGGUGGGGCUUGAGUGUGUCCUCCGAUGACUGAGAAGCCUUGGGAGCAUCCUUCCUGCUACUGUGUGUUUGCUGGUUCCAAUGAUACAUAAUUUGUGCUUUUCGUAAUUAAAGUAUUAUCCUGUA